RNAcentral lists this ribosomal RNA (826 nucleotides) under Vibrio parahaemolyticus. Its description in RNAcentral is "bacterial SSU rRNA". It matches the Rfam family "Bacterial small subunit ribosomal RNA", at positions 37 to 878 of the family's 1533-position model. The record is from RNAcentral. Lineage: Bacteria; Pseudomonadati; Pseudomonadota; Gammaproteobacteria; Vibrionales; Vibrionaceae.
UCGCGGCUCGGAUUACUUGAACCGGUGACGAAACGAUAACGGCGUCGAGCGGCGGACGGGUGAGUAAUGCCUACGAAAUUGCCCUGAUGUGGGGGAUAACCCUUGGAAACGAUGGCUAAUACCGCAUGAUGCCUACGGGCCAAACAGGGGGACCUUCGGGCCUCUCACGUCAGGAUGUGCCUAUGUGGGAUUAGCUAGUUGGUGAGGUAAGGGCUCACCAAGGCCACGAUCCCUAGCUGGUCUGAAAGGAUGAUCAGCCACACUGAAACUGACACACGGUCCACACUCCUACGGGAGGCAGCAUUGGGGAAUAUUGCACAAUGGGCGCAACCCUGAUGCAGCCAUGCCGCGUGUGUGAAGAAGGCCUUCGGGUUGUAAAGCACUUUCAGUCGUGAGGAAGGUAGUGUAGUUAAUAGCUGCAUUAUUUGACGUUAGCGACAGAAGAAGCACCGGCUAACUCCGUGCCAGCAGCCGCGGUAAUACGGAGGGUGCAAGCGUUAAUCGGAAUUACUGGGCGUAAAGCGCGUGCAGGUGGUUUGUUAAGUCAGAUGUGAAAGCCCGGCGCUCAACCUCGGAAUUGCAUUUGAAACUGGCAUACUAGAGUACUGUAGAGGGGGGUAGAAUUUCCGGUGUAGCGGUGAAAUGCGUAGAGAUCUGCAGGAAUACCGGUGGCGAACGCGGCCCCCUGGACACAUACUGACACUCAAUGCGAAGCGUGGGGACAAACACGAUUAGAUACCCUGCUAGACCACCCCCGUAUCCACGUCUACCUCGAGUUGUGCCUUCCAUCCUGGCUUCGAGCUACCCGUCAAUAGACCGCUCGGGG